UUUAUAUUGAGAAAUACUGAAUUAUCAUCCGGUAACUGUACAAGGGGAAUUGAAGGUAAUAUUUCUGGACAGGGCCUUUGUCACUAUAGGUGAGACCAGGUCCAAAUUGUCGCAGACAAAUCUGAUCUUGCUGAUCAUAAAUAAAAAAUAAAACAAAAAUAUGUUCUAGAUACAGCAGUUGAUCUGGUCUAUGAUCUAAUACAGAGAUUGUAAAGUUAGAAAUGAAUUCACAGUUGUCUUCUUGAAUCACCAGUCUUUGCUCCAGUAUUUGUUCUGUUGUCAUUCAGCGAAUCAUGGUUUGCCUUUGGUGAGC
This 313-nucleotide long non-coding RNA is filed under the name Nicotiana benthamiana. RNAcentral describes it as "long non-coding RNA (NBEN_LNC019788)". The record is from RNAcentral. Lineage: Eukaryota; Viridiplantae; Streptophyta; Magnoliopsida; Solanales; Solanaceae.